Molecule: small nuclear RNA, 105 nt
Organism: Suncus etruscus (white-toothed pygmy shrew)
Lineage: Eukaryota; Metazoa; Chordata; Mammalia; Eulipotyphla; Soricidae
Source: RefSeq, a predicted model, not a curated record
GUGCUCACUUAGGCAGCACAUAUACUAAAAUUGGAACUAUACAGAGAAGAUUAACAUGGUCCCUGCUCAAGGAUAACACCCAAAUUUGUGGUGUUCCAUAUUUUA